This 750-nucleotide ribosomal RNA is filed under the name uncultured Bacillota bacterium. RNAcentral describes it as "bacterial SSU rRNA". It matches the Rfam family "Bacterial small subunit ribosomal RNA", at positions 129 to 896 of the family's 1533-position model. The record is from RNAcentral. Lineage: Bacteria; Bacillati; Bacillota.
CCUCACACUGGGGGAUAACAGUUAGAAAUAGCUGCUAAUACCGCAUAAGCGCACGGUUCCGCAUGGAACAGUGUGAAAAACUCCGGUGGUGUGAGAUGGACCCGCGUCUGAUUAGCCAGUUGGCGGGGUAACGGCCCACCAAAGCGACGAUCAGUAGCCGGCCUGAGAGGGUGAACGGCCACAUUGGGACUGAGACACGGCCCAAACUCCUACGGGAGGCAGCAGUGGGGAAUAUUGCACAAUGGGGGAAACCCUGAUGCAGCGACGCCGCGUGAGUGAAGAAGUAUUUCGGUAUGUAAAGCUCUAUCAGCAGGGAAGAAAGUGACGGUACCUGAAUAAGAAGCCCCGGCUAACUACGUGCCAGCAGCCGCGGUAAUACGUAGGGGGCAAGCGUUAUCCGGAUUUACUGGGUGUAAAGGGAGCGUAGACGGCAAGGCAAGUCUGAAGUGAAAGCCCGGUGCUUAACGCCGGGACUGCUUUGGAAACUGUUUGGCUGGAGUGCCGGAGAGGUAAGCGGAAUUCCUAGUGUAGCGGUGAAAUGCGUAGAUAUUAGGAAGAACACCAGUGGCGAAGGCGGCUUACUGGACGGUAACUGACGUUGAGGCUCGAAAGCGUGGGGAGCAAACAGGAUUAGAUACCCUGGUAGUCCACGCCGUAAACGAUGAUUGCUAGGUGUAGGUGGGUAUGGACCCAUCGGUGCCGCAGCUAACGCAAUAAGCAAUCCACCUGGGGAGUACGUUCGCAAGAAUG